UGCAGUCGAGCGGUAAGGCCCUUCGGGGUACACGAGCGGCGAACGGGUGAGUAACACGUGGGUGAUCUGCCUCGUACUUCGGGAUAAGCCUGGGAAACUGGGUCUAAUACCGGAUAUGACCAUGGGAUGCAUGUCUUGUGGUGGAAAGAUUUAUCGGUGCGAGAUGGGCCCGCGGCCUAUCAGCUUGUUGGUGGGGUAAUGGCCUACCAAGGCGACGACGGGUAGCCGACCUGAGAGGGUGACCGGCCACACUGGGACUGAGACACGGCCCAGACUCCUACGGGAGGCAGCAGUGGGGAAUAUUGCACAAUGGGCGGAAGCCUGAUGCAGCGACGCCGCGUGAGGGAUGACGGCCUUCGGGUUGUAAACCUCUUUCGACAGGGACGAAGCGUGAGUGACGGUACCUGUAGAAGAAGCACCGGCCAACUACGUGCCAGCAGCCGCGGUAAUACGUAGGGUGCGAGCGUUGUCCGGAAUUACUGGGCGUAAAGAGCUUGUAGGCGGUCUGUCGCGUCUUCUGUGAAAACUCACAGCUCAACUGUGAGCUUGCAGGGGAUACGGGCAGACUAGAGUACUUCAGGGGAGACUGGAAUUCCUGGUGUAGCGGUGAAAUGCGCAGAUAUCAGGAGGAACACCGGUGGCGAAGGCGGGUCUCUGGGAAGUAACUGACGCUGAGAAGCGAAAGCGUGGGUAGCGAACAGGAUUAGAUACCCUGGUAGUCCACGCCGUAAACGGUGGGUACUAGGUGUGGGUUUCCUUCCACGGGAUCCGUGCCGUAGCUAACGCAUUAAGUACCCCGCCUGGGGAGUACGGCCGCAAGGCUAAAACUCAAAGGAAUUGAC
RNAcentral lists this ribosomal RNA (842 nucleotides) under Nocardia sp. RNAcentral describes it as "bacterial SSU rRNA". It matches the Rfam family "Bacterial small subunit ribosomal RNA", at positions 56 to 914 of the family's 1533-position model. Lineage: Bacteria; Bacillati; Actinomycetota; Actinomycetes; Mycobacteriales; Nocardiaceae. The record is from RNAcentral.